Molecule: ribosomal RNA, 500 nt
Filed under: uncultured bacterium
Lineage: Bacteria
Description: bacterial SSU rRNA
Rfam family: Bacterial small subunit ribosomal RNA
Source: RNAcentral
GACGAACGCUGGCGGCGUGGAUUAGGCAUGCAAGUCGGACGGUAGGGCUUUAUCGUAAGAUAGAGUUUGAGAGUGGCGAACGGGUGAGUAACACGUAGGAAUCUACCCUUAAGACGGGGACAACCCAGGGAAACUUGGGCUAAUACCGGAUGAGAGUGCGAGAGAUUGCAUUUAAAAGGAUGGCGAAAGUUGUCGCUUAGGGAUGAGCCUGCGGUCUAUUAGUUAGUUGGUGAGGUAAGAGCUCACCAAGGCGAUGAUAGAUAGGCGGCCUUAACGGGUGGUCGCCCACACUGGGAUUGAGAUACGGCCCAGACUCCUACGGGAGGCAGCAGUGGGGAAUAUUGCACAAUGGGCGAAAGCCUGAUGCAGCGACGCCGCGUGAGGGACGACGGCCUCGGUUGUAACCGUACUUCUAGCAGGACGAAGCGAAAGUAGACUGUACCUGCAGAAGAAGACACCGGCUAACUACGUGCCAGCAGCCGCGGUAAACGAUACUCGUA